Molecule: unclassified non-coding RNA, 345 nt
Filed under: soil metagenome
Description: partial contains 5.8S ribosomal RNA, internal transcribed spacer 2, and large subunit ribosomal RNA
Rfam family: 5.8S ribosomal RNA (bases 1-120)
Source: RNAcentral
GAUGAAGAACGCAGCGAAAUGCGAUACGUAGUGUGAAUUGCAGAAUUCAGUGAAUCAUCGAAUCUUUGAACGCACAUUGCGCCCUUUGGUAUUCCAAAGGGCAUGCCUGUUCGAGCGUCAUUGCUGCCCUCAAGCACGGCUUGUGUGUUGGGCCUCCGUCCUCCUCCCGGGGGACGGGCCCGAAAGGCAGCGGCGGCACCGCGUCCGGUCCUCGAGCGUAUGGGGCUUCGUCACCCGCUCUUGUAGGCCCGGCCGGCGCUUGCCGACACAUCAAUCUUUUUUCCAGGUUGACCUCGGAUCAGGUAGGGAUACCCGCUGAACUUAAGCAUAUCAAUAAGCGGAGGA